Long non-coding RNA from Labrus mixtus (cuckoo wrasse), 440 nucleotides. RefSeq lists it as uncharacterized. The record is from RefSeq and is a predicted model, not a curated record. The transcript is spliced from 2 exons. NCBI's taxonomy places the organism in Eukaryota, Metazoa, Chordata, Actinopteri, Labriformes, Labridae.
AAAGGAGCAAAAAGAUGAAUAAUGUCAUAUCUGCUUUUCUCUCACAAGACAUUAAAGGGGACAGUGUUUCUGAACAUAUAUUUGGGUAACCUGAGUGUCUACCGACCAAAAAAAUGUGAAAUAAAUCCAUCCAGUCCUUUGUUUGUGGUCUGCAUAAGUCUUACAACACAGAGAAAAAUGCUCAUUUUCAAAUGUGCAUUGUGAUGUCACAACUACUUUUUCAUCGAUAAAGACAAGCAGUCAGAUAAAUUUGAAAUCCCUUUUUUUUAUUUUUUAGAAAGUGCUUUAGAAACCAACAUCAACAUACAUGACUCUACAUUGUAAACACAAAUAAAUAUGGGUGAAGGUCACAGCGGGAAUAUCUACGAGCAAAGUCAGUACGCAAGAAUCGAUUAUGAUCUGUCACUACAUCAAUACAGAAUCGUCCACAUCCGCAUCGU